This is a long non-coding RNA of Myotis daubentonii (Daubenton's bat), 21462 nucleotides long. RefSeq lists it as uncharacterized. The record is from RefSeq and is a predicted model, not a curated record. Lineage: Eukaryota; Metazoa; Chordata; Mammalia; Chiroptera; Vespertilionidae. The transcript has 3 exons.
UUCCAGGAUAGUUUCUUAAGCCUAUGUUCUUCCUUGAGACAAACUUUAUUCUCAGAGUAAUGAAGAGAUUUUAGGAAGAGAUCAAGAAAUUAACAUUAACCAAAUUUGUGGUAUGGAGUGUUAAAAUUUUAUGUUCUGCCUGGUUUUAAAAAUAAUUUCAGAUUGUUAGUAGGUAAGAUGAGUAUAUUUUUGAGGUUCCCGGUAAAAUCCUCUGUACCUCCCCCAAAUCUCUCACCUGAAUGUAGAGUAAGGAUAUAAAAGAAACGAACAUGUCUUGAGUUCCUGUUAUUUAUAGCCACUACCCUGAGCACUUUACAUGUAUUCUCUAUGUAAUUCUAUUGCUAAUGCCUCAAAUUUUAGCAUUGUGAUUUCAGUCUUUAAGAUGGUUUCCCUAAUAAAACAGCAGCUGCCACUGAGAAAGGUAACUCCACAUGUAAGUGAUAUCACUGAGUAAAUGACAUACGUGUUUUUUCCCCUGAGCACAUGCUUUUCAGGUGGGGAGAUGAAUAAUUGAUGCUGCAGGACUCUGUGACUGGAACAGAUUACAAGGCAGCCUCCUUUUCUGUGUUCUGCCAUCCAACGAAUAUUGAGUAUUUGUUCCAUGCUCGGCACUAUUCUAGAUAAUUGGAGCCACAUCAGUAACUAAAAUAGACAAAUAUUCAUGCCCUCUUCAAGCUUACCUACAAAUGUGGAAAAUAUGGUCUGUUAAAACAUGAUAAAGACCCUUACCCCUCUUAACUAUGGGCUGAACUUAGUUACCAACCUACGAAGAUUAGAGUACAGAAAAGAAGGAAUUAGUAACGUUACAAUGGACAAAACUGGCAGCCACCACCUUAGCCCAGUGAGCAGGGUUCACAUCACCAGUGAUAAUUUAUGUCGAUGGCAUGUGUAUCAGUAUGAGGUGAUGAGAAGAGUGCUUCAUCUUGGUGGUCUUCUUCCCCAAACCUAUAGCCCCAGCCUAGUCAUGAGGAAACGUCAGAUGCCCCAAACCGAUGGACAUUCUACAGAGUACCUGGCCAGUAGCCCCCAGACUGUUCUGGUCUUGAGAAACUGUCAUAGUCCAGAAGAGUUUAAGGAGGCAUGACCAUCAAACACAAUUCAGUAUCCUGAAUUGGAUUCUAGAACAGAAAAAAAAGGACAUUGGUGGGAAAAUGGUGAAUCCAAAUGAAGUCUGGAGUUUAGUUAACAGUAAUGUAGGAAUGAGGGUUUCUUUAUUUUGACAAAUCUACCCUGAUGGUGCAACAUGUUAACAUUAGGGGAAAUAGGAUGAGAGUAACCAUCUGCAUGAUCUCCUCAACUUUCCUGUAAAUCUAAAGUUAUUCCAAAGUAAAAGGUUUAUAUAAAAAUGUAAGGAAAAACAUAGAGCAGUAUAAAGGAGAUAAGGAAUGCCGAAGUUGCAAAUUUAAAUAGGUUAGUCAGUUAUAGAGAAGGUGAUAUUUGAGUAAAAAGUUUAAGGAAGGCCCUGACCGGUUUGGCUCAGUGGAUAGAGCAUCGGUCUGCGGACUGGAGGGUCUUGGGUUCGAUUCCGGUCAGGGGCAUGUGCCUUGGUUGUGGGCACAUGCCCGGUAGGGGGUGUGCAGGAGGCAGCUGAUCGAUGUUUCUCUAUCAUCGAUGUUUCUGGCUCUCUAUCCCUCUCCCUUCCUCUCUGUAAAAAAAUCAAUAAAAUAUAUUUUUUUAAAAAAAGUUUAAAGAAGGCCCUAGCCAGUUUGGUUCAGUGGGUAGACCAUCGACCUGUGGACCAAAGGGUCCCAGGUUCAAUUCCGGUUGAGGGCACGUCCCUUGGUUGCAGGCUCCUCCUCGGCUCAGGCCCUGGUCAGGGCUCGUGCAGGAGGCAACCAAUUGGUGUGUUUCUUUUCAUAUUGAUGUUUCUCUCAUCUUUCCCUCUCUCUUCCACUUUCACUAAAAAUCAAUGGAAAAAUAUCAAAAAAAUAUUUUUUUAAAAAAAGAGAAAAGUUGAAGGAAGGAAGAGAGGGAGCAACAUGAAUAUAUGAAGGUAAAGCAUUCCAGGCAGAGGCAAGUGCCAGGUGGGAGCAUGUCUGAUGUGUUGGGGAAACAGCAAGGAAGCCACUGUGUCUGGAGUGGAGUACGUGAGGGGAGGAGAAACAGAACAUGGCACCAGAGGGUAACAAGACCAAAUGGUAUAGGGCCAUGUAAGACACUGUAAAAGCUUCUGAUUUAAAUUGGGAGGAAAUGCUGAGCAAUCAAAUACUUUGGAGUAGAGAAGUGAAAUAAUUUGACUUAUGUUUUAACAUGACCCCUCUAGGUACUCUGUUGAGAAAAGACGACAUGGGGCAGAGGUACGGGCAGAAAGGACCAGCUAGGAAUAUAACCCAGAUGAGAGAUGUCUGUGGCUGGGGCCAGGAAGGCAGAAGGAAGUGAUUGAAUUUGGGGUGUAUUUUAAAGGCAGAGCUAACUAGAUUCGCUCACUGAUUGGACAUGCUCUGUGAAGGUAAUCAAGGAAGUUUCACAGGGCUUGCCCCGAGGAGAGGGAAGGACACACUUGCCAUCAUGUGAGACGGAGAGAACAUGGGCGGAGCAGGUUUGUAAGAGCAAUUAAGAGUCUAUUUUUUUAAGAGUCUAUUUUUUUUAUACAAACAAUGAACAAUUGGAAUUCACCAUUUAAAAAAUACCAUUUACAGUGCAACAAAAAUAUGAACUAGUUGGAAACAACCCAAAUGUCCAUCAGCAGAUGGUUGGAUAGACAAAAUAAGAUAUAUGCUUAUAAUGGAAUAACAUUCAUUCCUGAUGAAUUUCUUUUUUUUUUUUUCCUGAUGAAUUUCUGAUACAUGCUACAGCAUGGACAGAUCUUGAAAACAGUAUGCUAAGUGACAGAAGCAAAACACAAAAGGAUAAAUACAGUAUGAUGUUAGCUAUAUGAGGUACCUAGAGUAGGCAAAUUCAGAUACAGGAAGUUAAGUAGUGGUUACCAGGGACUAGGGGGAAUGGGCAGUUAUUGUUUAAUAGGUACAGAGUUUCUGUUUGCAGUGAUGAACAAAUCCUAGAAAUAGUGGUGAUGAUUGCACAACGGUUUGAAUGUACUUAACCCAUUACACUUAAAAUGGUUAAAAUGGUAAAUUUUAUAUGUACUACAAGUAAAAUACAAAGUUUUAUUUUAAAAAGAGGAAUACUAAGGGUUAAAUUUAACAACUGAAAUGUGCAAAACCUUUGCAUUGGCAUUGCUGAGCGAAAUUAAAGAGGGCAUUAAUAACUGGAGGGUUACACUGUGUUCCUGGGUCGGAAUACAUGCUAUUAAGAUGCCAGUUCUCCUGAGCUUGAUUUGUUGAUUCAAUGCAAUCCCAAUCACAGCACCAGCCAAUUUUGGUGAAGAGAUUUAUAAGCAGAUUGUAAAAGCAGAUAUGGAGUUACAAUGAACCUAGAAGAGCUAAAAUAACUUUGAAAAAGAAGAGCAAUGUUGGAGGAUUUCUACUGCUACUUUAUUUCAUUACUUACUAUAGAGUUAUCAAGAUUGUAUGGUAUUCAUGUACAGAUAGAUGAGUUGUCCUGAGUACAGUGAAGUAAAAGCAGAACCAAAGAGUUGAGGAUGGAUGCAAGGGAAGGAGUCUGUUGGUUGCCAUGGAAUUUAAGCUAGGUGAAGAGGGAAGGGAAGACAGGGAAGGGAGUGGCACUGAAAGGAUACAGAAACGGUUGAUUGUAGGUCAAGGAAUUGUUCGAAUUUAGGCACUAGAAGAAGGGGGCUGGAAACAGGAAUUGGUGGUUAGCAAGUGGGGUGAAUGGACUAGUAUCAUUGAGGGGUGCAGCUGUUGGUAAUGCAGGGUCUAGGGCAGCUGUGGGCAAACUAUGGCCCACGGGCCGGAUCCGGCCCGUUUGAAAUGAAUAAAACUAAAAAAAAAAAAAAAAAGACUGUACCCUUUUAUGUAAUGAUGUUUACUUUGAAUUUAUAUUAGUUCACACAAACACUCCAUCCAUGCUUUUGUUCCGGCCCUCCGGUCCAGUUUAAGAACCCAUUGUGGCCCUCGAGUCAAAAAGUUUGCCCACCCCUGGUCUAGGGUGUGACCAAAGGAAUGUGCAACCAAGGUGUGGUGAAGACUUACAUCCUUACAGGGGAGUUCAAAGACAUUAGAGGACAAGUGUCAGGCUCAUUCAUGUGCAUGUAAACAUCCCCACACUAUGAUACAGGAAUAGUAAUUGGAGAAAAUGACAGCUAGGAGCUGAAAUAAUCAAUAAAUGAGGGGGGGACUGUCUGGAAUUGGUAUAUGUUGGCAGUAAUGGAGGUUAAUGGAUGAUGCAGUCUUAUGGCGUAAGAUUUAGGGAGGACCUGGGAAGAGCUCUCUGAAAUGGCCACCUUGCUCACCUUGCGCCCUGCCCAAUGGAGCAAGUGCGGAAAGAGAUGGGCUGGCUGCCAUUGAGAUGCGUGCAGAAGAGAGCACGGCUCCCAUCAGAGAGGAUGAGCAGAAGUUUAGAGAAGAGUUCAGGAUGGCGGGGUCCAGCUGAUGAGGGAAUGUGAGGGCACUAGAAGGGUCUCAGGAGUUGGGGGUGGGGUGGGAACUCAGGUCUAACUGGAAUAUGUGCAGUCAUAAAGGGAGCAGCAUGUGAGGGAUGAGGGAGGGGCAGCCUGGGGCCUGGGCUGUUUUGUGGUGAUGACAUCAGCAGGGACGGUGGGCACAGAGAGACUCGCUCCAGAGUUCUCGAGGCAGAUAGCUGCAGCCAGGCUGUGGGGGUGGGAAGGGCUAGGUUUUGGCCUUCCUGGCCUCAGAGUUGGACAGAAGAGACACGUGGAGAGGAACACAUUGACUAUGGAAAUCUGUUUAACAAGAGGAGAGAUUUUCCUUGACUUCGGGUUGUGUGAUUUGUGUGGUCUGGAAUUUGUCAGACACAGAGCAGAUAACUGGCUGAGAACAAGGCCAUUCUAGAGAAACUAGGAAACUGAAAAUGAGGAGAAUCUUCUUGCCAGCAUGUCCUUAAAGGGGAAUCCAUCUACUGGCGAAGAUCGCAGUCAAAAUAUUUAUGAUGAAUUUCAUUUGGCGGUUUUACACCAAGUCUUCUGUCUUGCGUUGGAAAUGGAGGCGUUCAUCCCUGGGAAGCAGCGUGGCUUAGCGUUGGAGAGCUGGCACUCCAAAGUCAGACAGUGGAGACUGAAGUCCUGGCUCCACGACUCAUCCGCUGUAUGAGCAAGUUACUUCACCAGGUCCUAGUUUCCUCUUCUAUAAAAUGGAGAUAAUCAUAGGGCCUGCUUCCUAAGGAUGUUGUGAGGGCCAAAUGAGGCUCUCCAUGUAAGUGCACUUAACAUGCUUCCUGGCACCCAGUCAGCUUUCAGUAUUUGUGACCGUUGUUAUUACUGUUAUUUCAGCAACUUAUAAUCAGAACACACCCAAUAUUUAUACUCUCCUCUGUGACUUGUUAGCACAUAUUUCAGCAUAGCUUUCUCUUUUUAAGACUUGUAGACUUUGUUGGGGCAAUGGGCCACAAUGCACUGUGUGGGUGAUGUUUUGUUGAGUUGUACACUUGAAACCUGUAUGGUUUUGUGAAACAAUGUCACCCCAAUAAAAAACAAAAUAAAGAAUAUUUCAAUAAAAAAUAAAAGUUUUAAAGAGGCUUGUAGAUAACUAGCUACUUAUAUCAUUCAUGUAGGAUAAUGUUUCCGGUCUUCUAAAACCAUGUUUUCUGUGAUGCUUUCUUUUUUAAUAUUUUUAUUGAUUUCAGAGAGGAAGGAAGAUGGGGAGAGAGAUAGAAACAUCAAUGAUGAGAGAGAAUCAUUGACCAGCUUCCUCUUGCACGCUCCACACUGGGGAUAGAGGCUGCAACCAGGGCAUGUGCCCUGAGCAGGAAUUGAACCGUGACCUCCUGGUUCAGAGGUCGAUGCUCAACCACUGAGCCAUGCCGGCUGGGCUGUGAUGUAUUCUUACGAUAUAUUUUAUUUCCUCACCAGCAACAAUAUUUGGUCAUGAAUUUACUGUAUUUUGUGUUAUGAAGUAGGAUAUUUUAACCUUUCUUUAUACAUGUUCUUUCCCCUUUCCCUGUCCUCUGGAAAGUGAUAUCUUCUCCUUAUUCGAGAAUCACUGUCCUGUAGGAUCCUUGUGAUUGCAUACUAGAAUAGUAUGGAGACAUUUUUCACAGAUGAGAUUGGUGGAGUGAAAAGGAGUGACAUCUUAGUGCUGGCGAGAGGAUGGAAUAAUGGGCUCGCGUCUUUCGUAUAUGCUGGCAAUGGUGAGGGGUAAUGAAUAGUGUGCCCUAAUGACAUGUGACUCGGUAGUUAAGGAGGGGCAUGGAGAGCUGUGUGGAAGUGGAAAUGAGAAACAAGGAGGACAGUAUGCUUACCUCCAGGCCCAGUGUGGCAAGUGCUGAAAGAGUUCCCCCCGCUGCUAUUGAGAGGCUGCAGAGAAGAAGGAAACUUCAGGGAAGUUUAGAUUUUCAUUGAAAAUCUAAGAUGGCAUAGCCUUCUGGAGGCAGUUUACGGAAUUGACAAGAUUAAAAUGAAAUACCAUUUGCCUGGCCAGUGUUGCUCAGUGGUUGAACAUCAACCUAUGAAACAGGAGGUCACUGUUUGAUUUCCUGUCAGGACACAUGCCCAGGUUGCGGGCUUGAUCCCCAUUGUGGGAUGUUCAGGAGACAGCCGAUCCACGAUUCUCUCUCAUCAUUGAUGUUUCUAUCUUUCCUUCUCCCUUUCUCUCUGAAAUAAAUUUUAAAAAUAUAUUUUAAAAUAAUAAUAAAACGAAAUGCCAUUUGACCCAUCACCCUCACUUUUAAGAGUUUUUUUUCUACUAAAAAAAUAAUUAGAAAAAUGAACAUUCAUAUGUAUUAAGAGUUGUGUAUGGCCAUGAAAAUUGGAAACAGUGAGCACAUGCUACUUUUAUAAUCAGAAGAAAAAUUCAAAGCUAACCAAAUGCAUGGGAUCUACUUAUAGCAGAUAGAUGGGAAAAACAUCUUUACAGUCUGUCUGUUUUGUAUACAGAGGCAGUUUAUCCUCUGUUUAGUUUUGAAUCAUGCAAAGUUGUUUGAAAGUAUAUUCAUAUACUUUUGAUAUUUUUUGCUUCAACUCUCCCAGAAUAUCAUUGAUGGCCCAUAAUUUUAAUCUUAUUUAUCUUAUUUACCGCCCCCCCCCAACUUCUUUGCUGCCAUGAAGCUCUGCAUACAUGUGGUCUAAAGCAAACACAUAUUCUACUUUACGGCUUUUCCAGGUCUUAGUUGUUAGCGAAAGAAACAUUGCAGGCAUUUUAAGUUAAAUGUACUUUGCAUUUAUCUGGGCGUGGGCACCUUCUUUUAGUAUUCUUUAGGAAUAUAAAUAGCUCAUUUGGUUACUAGCCAAUAAGGCUUUAGAAUUUUGCCUUUGUUUGUAGCUUGCUCCAGAUCUGGUAAUUAUAAGGGAGAUGAAUCUGCAUUUGCUCUGUAGGUAAAAACCUAUAAAGAACACCUAACCCAGUACUCGAGUGGUAAUUGAAAUUAUGUAUUUUCCUUAAUUUUGUUGGAUUGUUUGUUUCUUUUUGUUUUAGCAAGCCCGUAAAGGCUCUGGAAUGCUUACCCACAGCCAUUUGUCAGGAUGAGUGGGGUAUUUUCCUUUUAAGAUCUGUAUAUAAACAGAGGAAAACAUUUCACACCUGUUUAUCUUAGCAGGGCCUGCAGAGCGGGGGAGGUAGAAUCUCCAUGAACUCUUCCACGUAGAGAGGCGUUUAGAAAAGAGCAUCUGCGACUGUGUCAGCUUUGGGUAAGAGCACUCAGAGCCAGACGGAAGGCCCACAGUUCAGACAAAACCCUUUCCUACAUCUCUCAUUUCUCCAUUUGAGUCCGUCUCUGCAGGUGUUUCAGCUCACCUCGCUGAAUUGUCUGUGCUCACAACACACUCUUAUGACACAUUUUCAGAAACACUUUAGGGUUUAGAAUUUUUUUCUUUAAUGAAACCGCCUUCAGGUUUGGUUCCCAUUUGAGAUAGUAAAUGUCUCUCUCAUCCUAGUAUAUUGGGAAAUCUAGUCAGUGUGGGGCAUCGUGGAUCUGUUUCCUCCAAAGGGAUAUUCGAUGAGCUACCUUUUUUUUAAUAUAUAUUUUUAUUGAGCCAAACCAGCUAGGGCUGAUGUCCUACCUUUUAAGAUAUUAUUAAUUCAGAUCAGUAAUAAGUUAGAUGACACGAGUAAAAUUAAUGUCUUUUUGACUUUAGAAAGAAACAAAGUCCUUUUUUAUACAACUUCUAAAUCAUAAAAAGUGAUGUCCUCUUUGACUGAAUCAGUUCCUAAGUUAUAUAAGAAACUUGGUCUGUUUUUCGUUUGCCACCACCCCUCAUCACCGAUUUUCAUCCCACUUAACCAUUGGCUGCAGCCUCAUAUCUUCACCUUGCAGACAUUCCCACCUUCCCUGAUUUCAGUACCUGCCUCAGUUGUGGUCGCCAUCCUGUCUUUGACCAUCAUCAUCCUGAGUGAAUUUGGUGUCCACCUGAAGGACCUCUGAGCUGAUGCAGACUCGUGUCACUACCGCUUCUAUGACUGUCAGCUCCACUUUCCUUCAGCCACUUCUGGGUAAAACCUUCGACAUCUCAUAGCUUAGGGCCGUCCUGCCUUAGAGGAGCAUCCCUCUCUGCCCAUCAUUUAUCUUCCCCAGUCUUCCAACAGCUCUGUCGUUCUUCAACCUUACCCUGGCAUCUAGGUUUUAUUCUCCAAACUCAGCACUCACAUUUGGGUUCACUUGUCUCCAAGCCUAGAGAUUUCCCACCAGACACUCAUUUCAGUGCUCACCUCUUAAUCCUGUUAAAUUCCUUUCUUUCUUAAAAAAAUUAAAUCUUUAUUGCUGAAAGUAUUACAUAUGUCCCCCUUUUCCCCCUAGUAACGCCUUCUAGCCCCCUAUUCCCCCAAGGCCUUCACCACCCUAUUGUCUGUGUCCAUGGGUUAUGCAUAUAUGCAUACCAGUUCUUUGGUUGAUCACUUCCCACCCACCUUCCCUCCCCCUUUCUUGUCUCCUUGAUCUUCUAGUCCUUGAAGACAAAACACAGUGGAUUUGUACAUCAGUGCAUCACCUGGCUCAGGGUUCAUUGUCUUCUUACUGGGCAAGUGAUGUCAACAUAUGUAUUCAUAGGUUUAGAUUUAAUAAUUUUUGGCUGUGUCAAAAAUUGACCCUACCAUCAGAGGACAAACGUUUACAACACUGAGAAACCCAACUAAUGGAAUUACAGGGUCUGCAAUUUUAACUCUGGGCUACAAACUUCAGAGUCUGCAUAUAGUAAGUAAUCUGAGGAAGGAAAGCCAGCCUGGUGUCGCACAGUGGGAAGUGGUGGAAACUGUGGGGAGUGGAGAGAGCAGCCUGCACUGGGCAUAGCUGUGUGCUGGUCCAGCAGGGCAGUCACUGUUUAACACUAGACCCAGGCUGGCAGCUCAUGCAUGCAUCUCUCCUGCAGAUAUGUUCUGUUUGGUCCACACAGUAUUUUCAUUUUUAAAAAUGUAUCGUCAACAUUUAAAACUUAGAUGAUUUUGCAUGAAAAUCCAGAUUUCUAGCUCCCGUGAAAAAGAAACACUCUGGAUCCCUGUUGCUGAGUGUAACAUUGGCGACUUCAGUGAUGAGGGCAAGGCGCACUUGGAAAUAUUAGUUUUAAAAGAUUUAGUAAAUGCCCGGCCAGCACAGGUCAGUGGUUGAGCGUGGGCCUAUGAACUGGGAGGUCAUGGUUCGACUCCUGGUCAGGGCAUGGUUGCCGACUUGAUCCCCAGUGGGGUGUGCAGGAGGCAGGCAAUCAAUGAUUCUCUGUCAUCAUUGAUGUUUCUCUCUCUCUCUCCCCCUUCCUCUCUGAAAUCUAUAAAAAAUAUAUUUUUAAAAAGAAAUAAAAUAAGUUAACACUUAAUGCAUAUUAGAGUGCUUUAUUAGCAGACAUUUCUAUUCCAUUUAAAGGCUUCUCCCACCCCCACCUCUUUUGAAGGUUUUCCCCAAAUUAUAAGGAGUAUUAAGUACAUUGGUAUAUUUAAUUUUCUUUGUCUAUUGAAGACCGAAUUUUUUUAAAUGAUGAGGUUUGUAACAAUACAAAGAUAAAAUUUUAUAUGAGUUAACUCCUCAAUGAUUUACUCAUAAAUGAAAAUAAUAAUAAGGCUCUUACAUACCUCAUCUGUUUUGCUGUUUAUUUUCUUACUAAAAUUCCACUUUUUAGAUUGUAACCUAAAUAUCCUUGAUUGCACAAGUAGAAUUGGUUCAUAAUUUCCAAGAUUGCACAACGCAGACUAGAACAAAUGUUAAGAUUCUGUAGAGGAGUGCUCAUCUAGAAAAUGCGGCUGAAUGAGUCAAAGAGACAUAAAUAACUUCUGGCUACAGAAAUUUUUGUUACUAUCUUCUGGCACCUAAUACCAGAGACACUUUCCUCUUUCCUCCUAAGGUGUAUUCGAAAAAAUGCUGAAGUUAUAUAAAGGCCUUCUCUGUUCAGUUAGAGUGAUGUACCUGCCAUUUGUCAAGGUAGGGAGGGGAGGAAGAGGCGGCAGGUGCUUGGGGCAGUGGUAAGCUGAGAGAUGUGACAAGAGCACAGUUUCUAAAUCUCUGGGACGGCAGGAGACAUGGCCCAUGGGGUUUUCUGUUCUUUCCACAAUUAUCACCACAACAGUUUGGACCUGAAAACAUUUUAUCUCAGGUCAGCUGUUUUUGCUUCCAUUGUUUUUCAAAUGGAGCAAUCUAGCCAUUUAGAAGACCUUAAGAUUAUGUUUCCUCUCUUUCUAUUUGUAAUUCCAUUUUCCUCCAAUCAGAAUAUUUCUUAGUUUAUUGUGUUGUUUACAUUUAAGGAGAUAAAAUAAUUUUUUAAAUAGAUGUGCUUGUAAGAAUGAGAUGUGAAAUUAGUAAAAUGAAUGAGUCUCGUUGCGGGAGCGAGAACUAACCACAGAGUUGUAUGGACCUGUCAAUUUUUAAAAAUUAUUUCCAGAUUCUUAUUUCUGUGUUACUGGUCUGUGAUGGGGGAACAAUUUAGAAAAGCAGCAGGUAAAAAAAAUGCAGAUGUGACUAUUUUAUGUGUUUGUUACUUAGAUUUACUGGGGGUCUAAUUUUGAUUCCUUUGGACAUGAACACGCAGGAGCCACAAGCAUACACAUGUAUAUACACCACACCCACACACUUCCCUCCGUAGGCUUUCACUGGACUCCCCCCCCCCCCCCCGGGUUCCUGGAAGGUGCAAGAGUCCUGAAUGGCAAGCUUGACGUAGAAGUGAGUAGUAAUUUUGUCAGUUUUUGCAUCUACAUCAUCAUGGUAUAUUGGACUUAAUUUCAGACUGACAUUUCAUUCAAGAAAUCACAACUUUUUCCUAUUAUUUACUUAAAAUGUUAUCAUAAUAAUGAUUUUAGAGGUAGCUGCCACUGAGUUUGAAAGGUAAACAGUUUGUCCAGCUAGUUAAUCCUGUUCAGGGGGCGGUAAUUCACUAUGAAACCGUAGGUUAUGGUAUCAGCCAGGUUCCAUUCAGGAGACAAACCAUGCCAGUGAUUUGAAAAGGGAAAAUUCAAUAUAACAUUUAUUAACUAGCAAAAGGUCAACUACCAUUAGCUAGUAAGAACCCCUAAGGAAUAUAGGAAUAGCAAAUGUGGGGGCAGCUCCCACCUCUAGAGCUUAGGGAGGAACAGACUUGGGACCACCCCCACCCCCAGGCUGAAAUUGAGACCUCACUGGAGAGCAUGUGGCUGCAGCCUUCUGGAUGAUGGGUUUGCUGUGGUGUCAGACUGGACCUGGCCCAUAAGAAGCCAUCUGCUGGGGUUCCAGUGGAGUUCUCAGGGUGCCAUGGGCUGGGGCUGGUGUGCAGGAAGCUACCUGCUGGGUGAUGGCAGACUGAAGCUGGUCCACAGGAAUCUUCCCAUUGAGGUCCCAGUAGAACACGUGAGGGUGAGUGACACGGGGUCUCACUCAUGCUCCAGCAGCCACAGCCACGGGGGGGAAUCACACAGGAAACCGACAGAGAAGUCUCUCCUCUGCUGUGCCUUGCAGUGUCCCUCCCAGGCCCUGUGUUGACACAGCCUGCCACUGUGCCAGCUGGCAAAGGAGAACUGUUUAUAAUGUCUAGCUCCAGUUCACAAGGCAGGGCAAACACAAUAGACGGGGUGCUGGAGGCAACAACGUGUUCACUGGCACGGUCCACCCCUUUGGCCCCUCGGCAUCUGUGUACCCCGUCUACAGUGUGAACUUCCAUGUAAUGAACAACUCUGUGCUUUCACCAGUCGACACCAGCUGCCCCUCGUACAAGUGCAGAAGUUCUCACUCUUCCCCUAAAAUAAGGAGACACACAACCCCAGCAAUCAUCGUGUCCAUUGCUGGCUUUGUUAAUUCCCCUUCACAUUCUAUCACAGCCCCAGUAAAUAUUCUGUUACCUAAAGACUAAAUUAUAAAGUUAACUCCUAACAACUUGUAUAUAAAACCUGGGGAAAAUAGCCAUUUUUUCCAAAGGAGAUACGCAAAUGGCCUCGUCAUUAGUUUAUGUAUUUUGUGGAAGAUGUGUAUGUUCAAUCUGCCUUUAAAUAUUUCUCUUGUAGGAUCUCAUGCACAUUUCCGCCUGAAAGAAAGCGCGUUCUCAGUGCAAUAAGUUGUUGUUCAUGUAGUUCUGUCUUCAGAUCAUUAAUAUAUCUAUGUGUCCUGGGAGAGCAGCUAAAGAGCAUACAUUGUUUCAUGGCAUUUUGUCAUGGUGGGAGCCCUCAUCACAGCAAAGCAAGAGGCUCACAUUGCCUUUAGAGCAGCCUCACUCACUUGUGACCCCUGGCUUAGAGCCUCUACCUCGUAGUUUGGAAAAGAAAACAAAGUUAAAUUUUUGAUAUGGUCAUUGAAAACAGAAUCUUACAUUAUUGAAUAGAAUAGUAGUAUUUUUUUGUCUAACACUGAAAAUGUCAAUAGACUGGGGAGUGUAAGAGAAGGUGCAUUUCAUACCAGAGAGUUUUCUCAAAAAAAUUUUUACCCUUUAUUUCCUUUUAAUUUCCUAAAUUGAGGGAUGUAUACUUUGUGUACUUUUCCAAUUCUGUUUGUCAGAAAUCUGUAUAUUAUAAGUGAACAGAAAAUUGUACCACUAGAAUGAUUAAAAACACAUGCAUUGCAGCAAUAUAACUAAAUUUCUUUAUGGAACUUCAGUAGGUUUAAUCCAAAGAGUGAGGUAUUGUCUCUCUGUGUGUGUAUGUAUGUAUGAAUGGAUGGAUGGGCGGAUAUCGAUAGAAAUACUUACAUAUGGAUUAGAGUGGGUAUAGAAUUUGGGGUUCUACCUUGUAGUUGAGGCAGAGGAAAGAAUGACCUGCAUAGGACAAAGAGAGAAUGCUACAGUGUUCCAGUGGUGAGACGGGGAGAGGGUGGUGUCUAAAGUAAUAAAGCGUGCUUCUUUACAAAGAGAACACCCACCUCUUAUUUUUAUUGUCAGUCCAUAGAGAAGGGGCAGGAGAGCUGCUCGAAUUGCAGAAUGCUCUUGCAGACCAUCCUGGGCAGUAAGGUUGUUGUAGAAAGGCAGGGCCAGCAUUCAGCUGGGCAGCAUCCACACGUUUAACCCUGAGGCUGCAGCCAGUAAGCGGUGUGUGUUUUCUGGAUUGUAGGAAAUGAAAGGGAGCCUGCAAAUAGUGUUAACUUGUGUGACAGCCGCGUGGUUUUAGAAUGGACACUUAGUUUCUCGCCAAACCACAAUCCUGUUGGGGUUGGUUUUGUGGUUUUCUUUGAGCAUGCAACAGGAAGAAGGGACUAACAUGGGACUACUCCGUGCACAUCAGGUUUUCCGUUCACAAAUGAAUAAAACAAGGAACAAGAAAACCAAUUUCCAUUGCAGAGGACAACCCAGUGGUCAAUCCCCUCUCAUUAUCUCAGUGAGUUUAAGAAAAACAAAAAGAUGGAUGGAUGUACACUGAUUAUAAAUGGGGGUUCCCAUUCCCCCAUUCCAUCUCCUACCUCAUUUAAACCUCUGUUAAUAUUUAAAUAAUUUAAAUAACCUUUUACUAUAUACUUUCUCACCCCUUUUCUUAAAAUGUGCCCUGCUAUUCAUACUGGGGAAAUAGAUGAAAAAUACUUUUAUAAAUAAUUUUCUUAGAAACAGCAAUUUUGCUUUUUUGAAGACUCUGUUUUAAAGGGUGACUGUUAGAAUUUGCAGCAUCUUUCCAAUUUAGGGUCCCAACUAAAUACAAACAUGUUUACAUUUUGAGGAGUUCUUGAUGGAGAAGGCAGAUGACGGGAGCUGACUGGCAUGAGACAGGAGAAAAAGCUAAGAUGUACUUUUAGUAAACAAAGCUUCCCCUUUCUUGGGGAAGCUUUUUUUAGAAAAAUGCCUAAUUCCUAAAUGAGAUGGGCAUGGGGUGCUAACCUCUGGAAUGUAUAUGUUGGUUUGGAAUAUAAUGUUAGUAAAAUUUAUCUUAAAUUAGUGCCAAAGAAGAGAUGACGUCAGCAGCCCUAUAAUUUACACAUGUCAACUAAUAAUGCCUGCCUUCCUUUACCCAACUCUUCCCGUGUGCCAGUGUUCUGUGUCAUAGGUAACACCCCGUGAGUUAGGUAUUGUUACCAAUAUACAGGAGAAAAAGAUGAAGAGAGCUAACUUGUAUGCCUAAGGGCACAUAGUAAGUGGUGGAUCUAGAAUUUGAAUCCAUACCUUCCUGGCUCCUGUGUAUACUUCUUUCAACUGCACCUCUGUUAAUUGAAACGGACUUAGUCGAAGCCUUCCCAAUGCCUAGGUAUACAUUUCUUUUUUAUUCUAGCAAGAGCAAUAAGUGAAGUAACUUUGAAAUGAAACAUUUAUGAAAGUUAUUAAAAUACGAAGAGAAAGUUAUUUGUUCUCUGGCAAUGGGUUUGUCUCACACUCCUCCCCGCCACUGUUUCUCAUGGUCGUUUUCUAAUUGCAGUUCCCACGAAGCUGCGUUAGUUUGGGUUUGUGCAUCUGCAAAAGACCCUGUGACAGAGCAGCAGAUGGAAAACAUUACGGUUACAUUGAUUUUAAUUAGAAGUUUCCAUACUGUUCUUUGCAUUGUUUCCCCCAUAGCUAUAUGGAGACUUUGCUUAAGAUCACGAUUUAGAAGGUUUUUGAGCUGAUAUUUUCCGGAAAGUAUAAAAUAAUAGACCACUUCCUGUUCAAAUAGAAUUUCCUUUAAAUUCCAUUAAACAAGAACCUGUCUGUUGUUUUUUUUAAUCCUCACCUGAGAAUAUGCUCAUUGAGAGGGCAGGAGAGAGAGAGGGGCAGGGAGGGAGGGAGAGAGAGAGAGAAAUAUCGAUGUAAGAUAGAGCAUCAAUUGGUCAUCUUCCAUUUGUGCCCCGACCAGGGAUCAAAUCCACAACCUUUUGGUGUACAGGAAGAUGCUCCAACCAACUGAACCACACCAGCCAGAGCCAAUAACCUGUUUCCCCCCCAUUGUCAAAAAAUAUUUUUAUUAGUUUCCUUUAUUACAGUUAUUGGAUCAUUACUCGCAGUGUAUCUGUAUAUGUAGGUGUGUAUGUUCAAAUUUUAUAAAAGAAAACAAAAGGGCAAUUGCCAUUUAAUUUUUCAGCUAUUCACAAUUUGACAGUUCACCCAGAAGUUCCUAGUUUGGCUUGUGUGGGGAGGGGGUGCUUUCUUCAUUUCCAUACCUCUCUUUUGGUUCGGAGAAUUGUUUCAGCAGACUGCAGAGCAUUUCCACUGGACACUUGGUGCAUGGGCUGGUCCAGAGCUUUGCUGGGGAGAGGGUCUUUCUUCAUCACUUUCUUCAUUUCUCUUACUUGUUCUACCGGCGAGCCCAAGGGCUAUGCGUUUCUGUUCUUGGCAGACUAGCUGGUGAGUGAAAUGAGAUUAGCAGUGAGGGAGAGGGGAAGCCAGGCUGGUGAUUUGUUAUUGCACCUAGAGUGUCAUCGUGUCUGCACCAAACAGAAACUUUAAUUGCACCAGGAUUCAGAGUUUGACGGGAUUUUAGAACCUACCAAAAUUCUACUGAAACACGUGGCUAUGACUAAAGCAAGAUGCUUUCCAAAGCAGAUUUCGACUUGUCUAGGAGAACCUUUGAGCACAAUGUGCAUGUGAGUUCUUAGGUAUUAUGUGACUUUACAUAGGAGUGCCAUUUGUGCAGAGUUUUUGUCUGCCUGGACAGAACGCUUGGCUCUGUCUCCUGAGUUGUGAAAAUAGCAGAAGCAGCAGCCCGAAGGUCCUCAGUCAUCCUUGGCGUCGUCACUCAUUUUGUUUUUCUGCUCAGGCUUUACCCACUAGAGGGGAUAAUGCGUUAUCCUCAGGGAAUUCAGAGACUAUCCCGUGUGCCUUAUAGAAUAUAAGCUAGCUUAGUAAUACACAUCCGUAUAAAGUUACAUGUAUAGUAAUUGACGUGAGGUGCUCCAUUAAACAGUGCAAUGCCACAGUGUACCAGUUCUGCGGAUAUGUUGCCAUGGAUACCCAGUGUGAUGGAGAUGGGGAAAGAGUUGCUUAGGAACUCAGCAAUUUCAUUGGGAGGUACGGUGGAAAAUACACUGUCCAGAAAUAGCUACCAUUGAUCCAGUCAUGUAUGCAAAUAGUUGUUUUCAAAAUUGUCAAUUAAAAGGAAAACGUUUCAAAAUGAGUAUGAAUUAAUGAAAGUUCGUUUAUAUUGUCUGUUGUUUUGUAAGCCAAAAAGCUGGGCAGAAUUCUUCAUUUGAGCUGGGAAAUUAUGUGGCAUACAGAUAUCCUUAAGAGAAACAUGUUUUCGCCAAAGAUGAAUAAAGCAAGUACAGAAAUGCCGAAGGACGGCGACAGGACGGUGGGGGUGAGUCCUCUGAGGGUCUGCUCAUGGGCCGCAGAGUUGGGAACCCUAGGAAUCCUUUGGAUUGAUUUCGAAGCACAGAUUUGGAAAAAGAGCAAGUUUUAAGAAAUAAUAAGAUGUGAUAAAAGCAAAUGGGUGUUCAUCUCGCUGGAUUCUCAACUGUAUAAAUUUGGUUGGCAAUAGAAAGAUGUUGUAGAAUUGGUUCUCCCUUGUCGCCAUCUCUGCUUCUUGUCAUUCAAGUCAUUAUUAUCUCUCCUUCCACUGCCUGGCUAUUUCCCCUUCCUGAUCCAUCUGCCAAAUGGACACCAACUGGAAAAAAAGCAAAGCAAAGCAGAUCAGAUCAUGUCAUUUCUACACCAGAACUUUUGAGGGUUUUCCGUUACCUAUAGAAUAAUUUCUAACCUCUCAUAAUAUAUUAGACCCUUUAAACGAGUUUAGCUCAACAAUGCUUUCAACCUCUUCUCCCGCUACCUUUCCCUCAUGAGAAGACAGAAUUUUUUCCAAAUGGGCAGUGCGCUUUCCUGCCUCCAGCUGGAAUGCAUGUCUACAGCUAGCUCCCACAGGUCAGAGGGCUGUUGUCCUUAAAAUUUCCUUCCUUAGUGCUGGCUGGUAUGCCUCAGUUAGCUGGGCAUCAUCCUGUGCACUGGAAUGUCUUGGGUUCAAGUCCAGUCAGGCUACCUUCCCAAGUUGCAUUCAAUUCCCCAGUUGGAGCACAUACAACAACCGAUCAAUGUUUCUCUCUCUCUCUCUCUCUCUCUCUCUCUCUCUCUCUCUCUCUCUCUCUCUCUCUCUCUCUUUCUCUCCCUUCUUCCCUCUCUAGUAUCAAUAUUAAUUUAGUUUAAUUUUAAAAUGCCCCUCCUUAAAAGCUCUUCCUGCCCUCGGUCCCUUCCCCCCGUCAGAGUUGCAGUUCCUCUGUGUUUUCAUGGACGCUGCUUAUACCUCUACCCAGCAUGUGUCCUAGCUGGUUUUGUGUAGUGUGGUGGUGAGAAGUACAUGCUCAGCCUAGUGUAGCACAGUGCCUCCCACAUUGUAAGCGUCAAAUAAAUGUUAGAAAUACAUACUGAGUAUAUCCUGUCAUCUCGUCCACUUCCCAGCGCCCAACAAUGCUAUACACAUAGUAGGUACUCAAAAAUAUUUAUUGAUUAAAAACUAGCUCAUUUCCGUAGAGUCCUCAAUAAGUAUUUCUCUACUGAAGCCGGUAAUGGGGGUAAAUAAAAUUUAGGGAGAAAUAUUUUUAAAAAUAUGUUUUUAUUAUUUUUAGAGAGGAACAGAGAGAUUAAAACAUUCAUGAGAAACAUCAAUCAAAGGACUGCCUCCUGCUCGCCCCCUACUAGGGAUCGAGCCCACAACCCGGGUAUGUGCCCUGACCAGGAAUCGAAUUAGAGACCUCUUGGUUCAUGGGCUGACAUUCAACUCUGAGCCACACCGACCGGGCUAGGGGAGCAAUAUUUUUAAAUGAUUUAUCUAAAUGUUUGUGUAUUUUAAGAGGGGCAGUAUGGUGAAGAAACACUUUCUAUGCAACUCCUGAAUUUUCGAAGACAGUAUAGUAGCAAAGCAGGGUACACUUGGAAGAGUCCUUUACCCAUAGAGCUGAUGUCAUUGUUUUUAACCAUGGUAAUAAAAGUGGAUGUUAUCUGAAAACAGAUUGGGUAACACGGGGAGAAAUGACGCACAAUUUGGAAACGAAUUUCCUGGAAGAAGCUUUCACAAUAGCUAACAGAAAGGACACAGGCCAGAGUUUGAUGUAGGGAGUGAGAGUCAUUCAGGGACUAUAGCAUCUAUAGUACUUCAGAAUUUUAAACACAGUCAUGUAAUGAAGGGACAACUGAGAGCAUACCUUCAUAAAACUACAGAAAUAUAAAGCUGAAAAGGACCAACCUCUAGUUUUUCUAAUUUUAGCUGCACAUCAGAAUAACUUGGUUUGUUAAAAUAUACAUAGUUGGCCCUACUUCUAAAGAUUCUAAUUUAAUAGUUCCAGAAUAGAGUCUAGCACGUGUGUGUGCAUGGACAUGUGUAUUGUUUUUUAACAUCCCUGAUACAGCAGGUCAGUGGUCUGGCAUUUAGGUACCCAACCAGAGAUUCUUAUGUGGGAUUAUUUCCUACAUCAUAUGAUUAUCUGGACACUUUAAUACCUCUGGUAAUAGGAGCCUUAUAUUAAGACACAUACACACACACCCUUUUAUUUUUUUGGGGGGUGGCCUCUUUUAAAGGCCUUAAUUGGCUUUAGUUUGAAUUUGCUACCCAUUGGUUCUAGUAUGGUCCAUUGGAACCACAUAAAUUGGGUCUGGUACUUCCUCCACCCGGCAGCCUUCAGAUACUUGGAGAUAGCUGUGAUGCCCUUUAAACCUUCUUUUAUUUAGGCUGUAGAGCCUUCCCUCUGUAUUGUGCUGUGGUUUCUUAAUUCAGAAGCCAUUUAUUAAGUACUUAAUAUAUGCCAGAACUGUGCUGGGUGGAACUUGGAGGACCCACAGGAUCUAAUAGUUCAACUGAGAGAAACAAACUUGCAAACAUAUACCUUCAGUACAGAGGCAGUGGUUUAAAGUGUGGUUGUGGGGUCAGACCUGUGUUGGAAUCCCUACCUUGACCAGCUUAGUCUUCAGGCAAGCUCUUUGUGCCCUAACUCCUCAUUUCUAGGGGAAGGGUACUGAUACGCCCUACCUUGUAUUUUUCUUAUUGUGAGUUAAAAUGCGAUACACUGCCAGAAAAGCUAAUGUGAAAUUCAAACUGUGGUAAGGGAAACUUAGGAUCCUGGACCAGGGAGAUCAUGUCCUCUUCAUCUGUGUAAAGUUCUGUCUGCUCCUACUUUGCUUUUUACUCAAUGGGAUGUUAGACAAAACAGUUAACCUCUCUGGAACUUCGUUUCUUCCCCUAUAAAAUGGAGAUAAUUCCUGCCUAGCUGUGUUUCCAUUUUGAAAUGUAAAGAGCAAAUGUAAUGAAUGCAAAUGAUGUUGUCACUUUAGAGAAUUUUGUCAUAUUUUAUUCAUGUGGUUCAAAACCCUUUUUCCUUGAUAUGACUGACAUUACUAUACAGAAUUUUAAUUAACUAAAAUUUAAAUUUACUAAAAUCUUAGAGAUUGUAGCAUAUUCAUUAUUUUUUGGCUUUCCUUAUAUUCAGGAAAAUGUGGGCAUCGAAGUGGUUGACAAAUGGUAAAUUACUUUUGUUUGCAUAUUCAUUUUCAGUUUUGAUAUUCACUGGCAAAUCUGUGUGCUAAACUGACCAAGGUAUUUUAGAAAAAGUUGCACUGAAUACCCUAACAGUAUGAAUGCCAGACUAGCGGUGGCAAAAGCAGCAUGGACCACCUCAUCCAAUGAGCCUGCUUCCACUUUUAGGGGGAAAGGAUACCCCAGGAAUACAGCUAAAGGACAAGGUGGUAGUUUCUUUGACACUAUAAGCUGGUCGCUGGUGUUUUUUUUUGGGGAGCGGGGAGAAGUCUCCUUUUCCCAGGCCUGUUUGUCUCUGUCUGUCUCUUGCUUGUUCAACUGUUCAAACGACAAACAUGCAUAAUGUGCAGAUCAGGAUGCUGCAGAUUACAGUUCUUUCUAAAUAUGUUUUAAACGCAAACAUGAACAUUAGAAUCCUUUACACACAGUACGACAGUUUUCCAUCACCCUUCAAUUGGCAUUUUGGAUUGUGUUCUCUGUAUUCACCGAAGAGGCUCCAUAGAGAAGGAAAGAGGCAGAGGGCGAGGAAGAAAGGAAGAUUCUAAACGACAGUCUCUUAUCUAGUGGAAGUUCAAUCCCUAAAACAAAAAGCGAAGUCGCUUUUUCCCCUAAAUAAUGUGCUCUCCAGCCUCACCUCUCAUCCUGAGAAACAUGAAAGGGAAAGUAAAAGAGGUGACCCAAAUCACAGAGCGCCUUUGAUAGGAGGAAUUCAGCUGUUUUGAACACUUACAAUCAAAGGAAGUGGUUUCCCUAAUUACACGAACUCUGUGAAAUCUCUCAGAAUAGCUCUUCCACCCCAGGAUUCCUUGCACUUUAGAAGUUUGCAUAAAAGCUCACAUGGAGAAUCAGAUGCAAAGUGUUUGAUUCAGAUUGUAUUAGGCAGAACAGUGCCAACAUCCAUCCUGCAGUCUGCCAGUUGCUUAGGUAGGACCACCGUACCUGGUUUUGAUGUGGGUAUCUUUCAGACCUGCAACAUUAAGAUCUUUGUUCUAUCCCUUUCUUGCAAGAGGCACCCGUUUUCAGGAGCAGUAGCUGUGAAAAUAUUCAGAUGGGUCUUCCCGAUUUCCCUCUCAAUCUAAAAGGGAUCCCUGGCUGUGUUUGUGGACUUUGCAUGGGAAAACAUGGUUUCCUGUGUUUGUGUUAGAUUCUUAUUAAGCGCUUCAUUAUAUAUUUUUUAUAUUUUAAAUAUGAUAAUGAUUUACCAUAAAAUUUACUUGCAGAGUUUCCCAUUUACUAUCAGAAUCUAGAUUGGGAAUCUGCCAAAACACGUGGCCUAAAGAAUAAUAGUGAUUAUGGCUGAAUUAAGUCUUUUGUGCUUUGAUAGUCAUCUUGUUACUGAGGCAUAUAGUGCAGGGCAGGUGUGUGUAAAGAAGAGAAUUAUAAAUAUCUAAGUUCUCUGGGGAGGCAGGCGUCAGGAUGAAGGCACAAGAGAAGACAGAAGCAUCAAUUUUAAUUAAAAUGUCAUCGUGAAAUGGUUUUUUUCAGGACAAGUAAUUUUAUGUGUAAGAGAGGCUGUCUAGUAAUCAUAUAUAACAGUAAAAAAGAAGUGUGUUUUCUUUUGUCUCUCACCCCCCCACCCCCCGCUUUCUUUCAGUGAAUAAGUAUCUUGUUACUACUGUAUUUUAUAUUCUAUAGAGCAGCGGUCACCAACCGGUGGGCCACAGACCACUGGUGGUCUGUGAGGUCUGAAAGGUUGGUGACUGCUGCUAUA